UCUCUCCGCCUGCUUUUCUUCUAUUACUCUUAACCUUAGAGCUCAAAGCCAUUACUUUAUAAGCUAUUUCGGGUAUUUACAAUUCCUACUUUUCUCUUGCAAGAACUGUAUCUUCAUAGAUUAGAAACAAUAAUGAUUGGCUAAAUUGUAGAAGUUAUGUUGGAGAACCUAACUAUCAGAUCUUUAUUUUGGAUCGGUCCAAUUUCAUCGAAAAACACUAUUUAUAUGAUCUAUCAUUUUUCGGAGGUUUUGUUUUGCUGAUUUUGAAUUGUAAUCUUGCUAUUGCCCUAUCUUCAUAUCUUUACAGAGAUAGCACGGGUUUCUAGGAUUGUGCCAAACCAAAGUUUUGGUAAACUUGAUAGACUGAGAGAUAAAAAUCCCACACUUAUGUCUUCAUCUAACAUUUUAUCAAAUGUUGCUGGUGCAGGGUUAGCUGGUUGGCAUGGACUUCCGCAGAACGUAAUUAGUUUUCUGAUCCUUUGGUUGCUUCUAUAAUCUAUAAUAUGUGUCGAUCAAUGUAGUUAUGUUAGAUUUUUUUUUUUUUCAAUUUAAGCAGAAUGAAAUAGAAAUGCAAUGCCAUUGCAUUGAAAACAAAGAUGAAACUACUAUAGUAUUGCACCUUUGAUAUUAGUGUAGGUUCCUUAAGUGAAUGUCAGUAUCAUAUUUAGUGAUGUAGAGCAAAAAGAGAGAGAGAGAGAGAGGAUAUUUAAGACCACAUGUACAGUCUCAUUAUUCAGUAAUAGUAGUCCUAUUGGUAUGUUAUAAAUCCCGAACUAACAAAUGAGAAAAUAUCUGAACUUAUAGACUAAAAUUUUUACCUGAAAUAAAUUGAUUUCUAGAAAGACACCACAGGCUUUAGGAAUUCAAUGAAAUUUUCCCUUCUUUUUGGACUCAGUAAAUGGGGGAGUGAUUAUCAAAACUCUCAACUGAUUACCUAUAAAAAGAGUUUGCUUACGGUGUAGGAAUGUGAAUAGCAAUUAUAUGUGGUUUUGUGUUGGGAAAUAUACCUAUAAUACUUUUUCGAUAUUUCCUGCCAAACUUGUGGGUCCUUUCUUGCCUUGUCUAUGAUGUACAUGUAAGAAUUGAUUCAAAUAAUUAACCAAAAAUUGGAAAAUAAAAAGGUGUGUAAAAGUGGAAAAUGAAAAGGUGUGACUACGUGUCAACUUCGGCCAAAUAUUUGGAUUUGAUCCGAUGAUCAAAUUACAAAAGUAAAUAGACCAACUUGUUCUACCCAUCGAGUAGAUUGUAGUGGUAUAUUUGGAAUCUCAAAACCAAUUUCGGAUGAAUGAAAAAUUGAGGAUCAAAUUUGGAAGAAAUGAAGUGUUGCAACUUUUCGAAAGGAUGCAGGUUUUGGCCCAUACUACUUUAUUUGCACCCUUUCUACAUCUAUGAAUAGAGCCCUAUGGACAUGGUUUUGCGUGCACCAAUUGCAAUGAGCAUUCAUUCUCCUCUUGCAAUUCUCUCAUUUCAAAUUCCAUAGCAUUUUCAUGCAUUUCCCUGGUAGAGAGGGAAUUCCGUUCGAGUUUGCUGGUCGAAGUCAUUUGGAGUGCUCCUAUGGCUCGACAUGUUCAUUGUAUCUUGGGAGAUGAUUGUCAAAAAAUUGUUAGCACCGAUGCGGGUCAAAUUCAUCUUAAGGAAAGAGUUAUACUCACCAAAGCCAAUCGCAUCACUUACAUCUAAUUUUUUCUUAUCUCAUUUCUACUUGAUUUUAGAAAAUGAUUAAUUUUAUUUAUAUGGUUUAUGCAAGGUUCGAUAUGAAGAAUCACAUGUUUUAAUUCAAGAAUGGAAAUGAUCAGAUUCGAUAAUCAUUGGCUAGUUUCUCAAACUCCAUUUCGGUAAGUCGAAACCUUGUUGCGAUUUCGUGAACAUAAAUGGUAUAUUUUUUGUGAAUAUAAUAUGCAUAUAAUCGGUGUAUUCCCCAACAAUCUUAAGAUGAAAUUUCUUAUGCAUAUUAUAUUUUAUUUGCAAUCGAAAUCAAGAUACUGCAUGAAUAAAAUCAUAAGACAGAAUUUUGACAUAUCAUGAUUCUGGUAAAUGUGUUCUAUUACAACAUUUUAAUUAGAGAAAUUCAUGUGUAAUGAAUCUAUAUAUUAUAACAGAAUCGAUAGUGAUUCUAUAAUUUGAAAUCAUUCAUUUAUAAGUUGAAUUCACUAAAAUAUAUUUCAAGUUGAUUUGUGGACAAACAAUAUGAUAUUAUUCAAUCAUGCACCAUAUAAUGUAGAUUCUGGUUUUGACCCAUUAGAAGAAAUUCUAAUAUUCAGAGAUUAGAGUUGAAAAUCUCAAAUUGGUGCACUAGAUUAUAUGAUAAGUAGUUGUGAAAUUCAUAAUACAUAUGAUAUCCAUGAACCGGUGCAUACAUGUUUAUGCAUUGUAUUUGUUGGUAGUCUCAUCUAUGAGUUUUAUUUGUUGGCACUCUUUUAAUCCAAAGUGUAUCUAUAUUAAAAGAUAAUUUGUGUCAGAAGUUGCUUAAGGAAUUUUGUUUGGGAUGGUUGGCAAAAUCUUGUCAACUAAUUGUAAACAAAUAGUAUGCAUGCUAUAUGGAAAAAUGUAUCUUUCCAAAUUAAAAACAGUUUUUAAUUUCUGAAAUGGUGUGACCCGUUUGAAUUGUUUAGCAUGAAAUAUCUGUCCAGAUAGUAUAUAAAUGUAAACUGAUUUGUAAAGUCAAAUUGCACAUGGACAUUGUGAAUUUUAUAUGCUAACCAUUGCGCUCCUUCAUGUUUAAAUUGCCUCAAUUCAAAGUUAUCAAGAAAUAAAUUUACUAAACCUACGAAAAAUGCAUGUUGGGAUAAUUUUAAUUGUUCAAAGCAUGUUGGCUUUGGCUUUGUCAAAAUCUAGUAAUGCUGAAAAUUAUAGUUUGUGCAGAAUUCCUUACUUUUAGUUUAUGCAUAUGACAUCCCAAUAACUUUUGUUCUAUCACUAUGGCAAAUCAUUAUGCGUUUGAAUAUAUUACUUGCAUGAGAAGCAUAUUAUAACUGAUAAAUAUACACAUAACGGUAAUGGCAUGAGUAUGCAUUUAUUUUAAGUAGGCAACUUUAUUGGGUAUGUAUAUGAUAAUCAUAUGAAGCAGAUUAGUGUAUUCAUUUGAUGAAUCCAUACAAGUGUUUGGAUUUUGGAUAGACCUUUUUGGUUAAAAUGGUCUGGUUGGUUAAAUUUUCAUAUCUUAUUGAAAUUAUACUAACUUUGAUUAAUGUUGAUAGCCUCAUUUAAUCCUAUGAAAUUAAGUGAGAUGAUUUAAGUGGAUAUAAUUAUUUAGUUAUGAGAAUUAAGCCACUUAAUUAUUUGAAAUAUUCUACGAUCAAUUUAGAUGAAAAUGUUCAUCCUUUCAAAUAAAUAAUCAUGACUUUUGGUAGGAUUAUUUUUCAAUGGGUGUGUCUCAUCAUAGAGACUAAUUCAAGAGGUGUGUCCUUUUGUAGGAUUGUGUCUCUUGAGAACACAACUUUUCAACCUAUGGUUGAUUCGUUCAUUUAAGUUUGAAUAUGUUAAAUAAGGUGAAUAUGUACCUUAUUAUUUGACAUGAAAUGAAACUAUCAUGUGAAACAUCACAAAUGUGAUAAGAGAAGUUGCGAUUCUUGUGAAUCAAGAUGCUUAGCCCUCUUCACUGUUGAAAUUGACUUCAAUCGUGAGAUCAAUUAAAUAAGUUUAUACUUGGAAAGCAUCGUUGGUCUAUAUGAUGGAAUUGAUUUAAUUUGGAUGAUCCAAUUAAGAUAAUUGGAUUGAACUAUGAUAAAUUGUGAAUCGAUGACCACUACUUAGGAAGUAAUUAGACUUUCACUAAGAACUCGACAAGGAUAUUAUCUGAGAGAUAAAUGAAUUGAACUAUAAAAGUGUUGUUGAACCCUAAGUUCAAUUGUAACCUAAAAGAUUUGGGGCCGGGGGGGGGGGGGGGGGGGGGGGGGCUUAUCAUAAAUGCUCGUGAACUUGAAUAAAAAGUUCAAAACUUGUGGAUGCAACAUUACUAUAUUGCAUAUGUAUUCCUAAUUGAGGAAUUGUGAGGGUAACUCAGUUUAACAGUUACGUUUGCUUCUAUAUUAUAAUCACAAAAUGAUAUCUAUGGAGAUAGAAAGAUAAAAAAAACCCUUAUACUAAUUAUAAGGAUGAUAUAUACUAAGUCUAAAGUGCAUGAAAUGGGCUGUAAAGCUGAUUAUGGCGUUUGUUUAGACAUGCAAGAACAAUUGGAAUAUAUGAAGAAUAUUCAUAAAGUUCAAAUGCAUGGUAACGUUUCAAUGAUGAUAUUGAAUACCUAUGAUUCUGAAAUCCACUAGUAAAAGUGAUUGACUAGUGUAGUAUUUGAUAGAAAUUCUCCAACUGUGUUUGGAAAUUGAUAAAGCUAAUGACGCAUAUAGCUUCAUGAGAGGAUUUCUUGGUGGCGACAAUUUGUAUCUAUCAAAUGAAUCGAUCAUUGGCUAGCAAUAUUUGAUAAGAUACUAAGUCACAUAUAAUGGUAAAUCUAGACACAUAUGUCUAGACAUAAUACUGUUAAGCAGUUGAUCUCAGUAGUGUAAACUCGUGAUACCUUUAAGAGAUUUACCGAGAGAUUAAGUAUACUGCGUAUCGAAGGGAAUGAGGUAAAGCCUACUAUGUUAGAGUCCUUGUAAUGGUAACCCUACCUUGUUGACUGGAGAUCCCAAGAUCUUGGUUCAAAGGGACAACUAAGUUAUGAGAAUUCCAUGAAGCACUAACGAAAAUAGUUUCUUAACUCAUUCCUAUGAUAUUAAAGUGCUUUCUGCAGAGUUGUAAGAGGUUAAGAUAAUCUUUUAAUGAUUCAUAUAUAUUGAUUAAGUCAAGUGGAGUAUGACAGAAUAUUCUUAAUAGGAGGUCACUUAUGUGAGUGUGAAGUGGGGCCGCUUCAAUGAGAAUUAUUCAAGGCUUGAAUUCUUUAAACACUCGUAGAACCAAGAAGGGUUCAGGGCCAAAAUGAACCAAGUCAUGAGAAUCAUGAACGGUUUAGGAAAGACAUCUGUGUGAGUAUCAUUGUUUUGGCUUACACUAAAGGCUGAAUGGUUCAAGAUAUCACGUUUACCAAUUAGCCGAGUAAGUCCGAUAGUAUUUCACUACGGGAGGUUCUAGGCCCGAAGCUACCAUCCCCGAUGCAGUGGCUUUCCGCUCUCUCUCUACUUGCAUCACAUCAUAGCAUUACAUUUACAUACUCGAAUUUCCAUUCAUGUGGGGGAUUGUAUGAAUUGAUUCAAAUAAUUAACCAAAAAUUGGAAAAUGAAAAGGUGUGUAAAAGUGGAAAAUGAAAAGGCGUGACUACGUGUCAACUUCGGCCAAAUAUUUGGACUUGAUCCAAUGGUCAAAUUACAAAAGUAAAUAGACCAACUUAUUCUACUCGUCGAGUAGAUCGUCGUGGUAUAUUUGGAAUCUCGAAACCAAUUUCAAAUGAAUGAGAAAUUGCGGAUCAAAGUUGGAAGAAAUGAAGUGUUGCAACUUUUCGAAAGGAUGCAGGUAUUGGCCAAGUGUUGAAACUUUUUGAAAGGAUGCAUGUUUUGGCCAAUACUACUUUAUUUGCACCCUUUCUACAUCUAUAAAUAGAGCCCUAUGGACAUGGUUUUGGGUACACCAAUUACAUUGAGCAUUCAUUCUCCUCUUACAAUUCUCUCAUUUCUAAUUCCAUAGCAUUUUCAUGCAUUUCCCUGGUAGAGAGGGAAUUUCGUUCGAGUUCGCUGGUCGAAAUCAUUUGGAGUGCUCCUAUGUCUCGACGUGGUCGUCGUAUCUUGGGAGAUGAUUGUCGGAAAACCGUUAGCACUGUUGCGGGGCAAAUUCAUCUUAAGGAAAAAUUUAUACUCGCCUCGGCCAAUCGCAUCACUUACGUCUAAUUUUUUCUUAUUUCAUUCCUACUUGAUUUUAGAAAAUGAUUAAUUUUAUUUAUAUGGUUUAUGCAAGGUUCGAUAUGAAGAAUCACAUGUUUUAAUUCAAGAAUGGAA
Molecule: long non-coding RNA, 5924 nt
Filed under: Olea europaea subsp. europaea
Lineage: Eukaryota; Viridiplantae; Streptophyta; Magnoliopsida; Lamiales; Oleaceae
Source: RNAcentral